Molecule: transfer RNA, 19 nt
Filed under: Solanum bulbocastanum
Lineage: Eukaryota; Viridiplantae; Streptophyta; Magnoliopsida; Solanales; Solanaceae
Also listed under: 13 other names
Description: partial tRNA-Ser
Source: RNAcentral
UCCACUCAGCCAUCUCUCC